Molecule: non-coding RNA, 30 nt
Filed under: Rattus norvegicus (Norway rat)
Lineage: Eukaryota; Metazoa; Chordata; Mammalia; Rodentia; Muridae
Source: RNAcentral
UCCUAGGUCCAGGUUGGUUGAAUCUGAUGU